Chlorocebus sabaeus (green monkey) is the source of this 3608-nucleotide non-coding RNA. NCBI's taxonomy places the organism in Eukaryota, Metazoa, Chordata, Mammalia, Primates, Cercopithecidae. The record is from RefSeq and is a predicted model, not a curated record.
AGUGGAUAAAACCCUUCUGCAAAGUCGUCUGCUAAUAUCUAAGAAGGGUUUUAAAUAUUUUCUUAUCUUUUUUUAAAAAAUGUGAAUGUUCAGAGGUAACCAAAAAAGGUGAAAGAAGUCAAUGCACUAAGGUAUUCAUCUUAGCAUGGUUCAUCACAGGGAAAAAGGAAAGCAUUUGUAUGUCUAAGCUGAGGGACUGGCCACGACUGUGCCUGCACUGGAGUGUAUACAUCAUUAAAAAUAUACUUAGAGUAAUGUAAAACUGGUGAGAAGACUGUUCUUGAAUAAAAGAGGCAUAACAAAAGACAAUGCAUGAAUUAGUUUGAAAAUAAACAGCAAAAAGUCAAUGGGGGACAAUUUUAAAAAUUUGAAUAUCAACUGGAUAUUAAAUGACAUUAGGGAAUAAUCAUGAAUAUCCUGCUGUGAUAAUGAUAUUAUGAUUAUGUGGGAGGACAUUCUUAUUUUUAGGAGAUGCAUAUUGAAAUAUUUAGAAGUGAAAUGCUAUGAUAAUUACAGUUUACUUUCAAAUAUUUCAGCAAAAAACACAUAUGUAUAUGUGUAUGUAUACUUACGGACUCCCUGGAUUUUCUACUUGGAAGUAGUACCGAGGAAGAUCUAACACAGCAUUUCUCCCUGUGACUCUGAUUAUGAGAGAAAAAGAAGAAAGAGGAGGAAGAAGAGGAAGAGAAAAGCAGGGCUAAAAUUGGGCUCAUCCUGAACAGGCGUCUUCAGUACGGCAGAAACUUCAGCAUUGUCACCCAACGUUUAAGGACAGCCUUUGAUGAGGCAGCGGCUUGGCUGUGUCUUCACUACACGAUUCUAUUCAAUAUCACCACCAGCCUUUACGCAGGACUCUGCACAUGGCAGGCUCUUGAUAAAUGGGCUCUGGGACAAAGCCUGCUUGCAGAGGAGAAAUACCACGGCAGCUUGAUGUGCAAUUGGGACUUAACCUCACACAAGACCCAAGAGUCCCCACGGAGGGCAUUCUCCAUGUGUUUCAACUUGGUGCAUCAUUCACCAAGCAUGUUCCCUCCGGAAAAGCAGGAGACCGCCCAAGUUGGAAGAAAAGGGCAUCUUUCAAACAAGAAGAUGGCUUUGGCUGCCUGCGUGGACCUGUGCUUCUCUGUCUGGGCACUGCCUGUUUCUGGAAGGUGUUUCCUCUCAGCCUGGAGUUAUAGAUUCAGCCUGGUUUCAGAGUUUGAGGUUGAUGGAAAUGCUUUCACAGAGGAUUUUUGUAAUCUUCACAUAAUCCUGAGAAGUAGGUAAGUCUGCAUCUUUUUCUCACUUUUCAGAGGAGGAAACAGACUUAGAGAAUUUUGAAUUUUUUUUUAAGCAAUUUGCCUGGAAUCUCCCAGCUCCUAAGUAGAGCCAAUCCUGAAACCCACGUCUUCUGGCUCUAAUCCUCAGUCCUUCUCCCAGGAUCCACAGCACUGAGGUCACCGAUGACCCCCAUGAUAAUCUAAAUAAUGACUCUGAGGCUGGACGAGAUGCCAAAUCUUCAAAGAGAGAGUCUAUUUGAUCAUUCCAUUGCACCAGCAAAGUGGGUUUGAAAUCUGUAGAGAGAUUUCUUUUUCCCCAAUAAUAGCAGAUGAAACAAUACUGGUUACAGAACAUUCCAUUUCCUAAGCAUUCCCAUUUUAAGCCUAUGUCCCAGUCAUUAAUAGAUUCACCAUACAUAGAUUCAUAGAGGCCAUACAUAGAUUCACCAUUUGAAGGAAGGAAUAGAAAAGCUGUCACAGAAACUUAAAACAGCCUAUAGCAGGAAAUGAGGAAAAAACACCAUAUAUUGUAAUUCUGUUUCUGUCUCCAAGGAGCAAACUCAAAAACAGACACCUAUGGCUUUAAGAGAAACAGUUAUACUGGGAGAGUGUUACAGGUGCAAAGGAAGAGAAUGUUUUUCAUGCCUUGGUUCAGGGGAUUCCCGAUGGCCUGGGUCUGCUUCCAACAGCCCUCAGCAUUCCAUGUGUGUGCUAUCUGGUAUGUGUUUAUUAUUGGGUAUGAACAAUUUGGGGAGGAAAGCACUGGUUCCCUCUAGGGGACCUUUGUACCUUACAACGGCACCACCCCUUCACCUCUGGUGGGAGGAAGGUCAUCCAGGCAUCCAGGGCCAUUCCCGCCUCUACCCUUAUUCUUCCGCAAUCCCCACUUCUUCCUCUCUGGCAUCUCCAUUUGUUCCUAAAUAUUUUCCUGUUUUCCCUGCCUCUGAAGAAAGGGCUUGGAUAAAGGGCCCCUAAGGAAGACAAUUCAAACUUUUCCUGAAUCAGGCACCAUCACUACGGGCUCUCUUCUUUUCCAUGAGAGCUAAGACAUGGAUUGUGAGAUAGACAUGGUCUAACUCCCCCUAGGUCUGGUGAACUCUAGUGGUAUGAAAUCUAUCCAGAUAGUGAACAGGUGGUUUGGCUCCUCCAAGGAGCUUCAGUUUGGUAGCACUUCGCCUGGGCUUCUCAAGCUUGCCUAACUUACUGACUUUCAGAUAUUAGGUGUAUUACCUAGAGCACUACACCUGAGAACUAGAGGCCCUGGGAGUUCGUCUUUUUUUUUUUUUUUUUUUUUUUUAAUAGGAGUCUUGCUAUGUUGCCUAAGCUGGUUUUGAACUCCUGGCCUCAAGCUAUCCUCCUGCCUCAGCCUCCUUAGGACCUGAGAUUACAGGCAGAAGUUCAUCUUACCUCAUCAUUCUCCGUGUGGCCCAGAUCUGUGGGUGGUUUUCCUUAAUCAUGCUUAUUACUGUGUUAUCUUAAAGAUCAGGAGUCAUACUUUACUUGCCAGAUCCAAUUUCCUCUGCCCAUUUUUCAUUUCCUUUGAUAUCUUGUGGUAGGAGACCCUGUUGGGAAGACCCUAUCCUGGUUCUCCCCCUUCCUCUCAGUGUGAUUCUUCAGUCUCCUUGGUGGUUCCUCUUCUUUCCUACCUCUGACCAUGGAUAUGAUCCUAAAUUUUGCUCUUGAUCUUCUUGUCUUCUCUCCCCUCAGAUUAUCCUUUGGUAAAUUUACCAACCACUGCUUUAAAUAUCACCUUCAUAUGAAUGACUCCUGAAUCUAUAUCUCAAGUCCCAUGGUUUUCCAUGACAACAAUAUCCAAGUCCGUAGGAUUCCACUGAAAAUGUGAGAGCUGAAAAAAAUAUUAGAGGAGGAUAUCAGAGUGACAGUUUAAUAACUGAGGUCAUAUAAUUGAAUCGUGGUGGAGAGCUCAGUAAUAUGCCUUAAUCUUCCUUCCCCUUCCUUUUCUUCUAUCACCUCACAUCUUUUCACCAGCCAAACUGGUCUCCUGUAAGCUGCUCCUUCCUCCUGACCCCAUGCCCACAAUUGUUCACUUUGUUUCCUUCCUGAAAUGCACACUCCUCCUCCCCUUGCCUUUAUCUCUCAAAACCCUACCCUAAUUUAGUGCACGUGAAAUACUGGUGUCUCUCUUCUAGUUCCUUAAAAAGAAAAGUAGAAAGAAGCCCCAUUAGUCAAAGGGGCGCCAGGAUAGCCAAGAGGGUGGGACUCUAAUGGGUCAGCAUUCUCAGGGGUCUCAGUGGAACCUGCUCAUAAAUUUUUCUUUUCUUUCUUUUUUUUUUGAGAUGGAGUCUCACUCUUGUCACCCACACUGGAGUGCAUUGGUGUGAUCUCAGC